RNAcentral lists this non-coding RNA (31 nucleotides) under Homo sapiens (human). The record is from RNAcentral. Lineage: Eukaryota; Metazoa; Chordata; Mammalia; Primates; Hominidae.
UAGAUGGAUGAUGGGCUCAGUGGCCGAUGGA